UGAGGAAUAUUGGUCAAUGGGCGAGAGCCUGAACCAGCCAAGUCGCGUGAAGGAAGACAGUCCUAAGGAUUGUAAACUUCUUUUAUACGGGAAUAACGGGCGAUACGAGUAUUGCAUUGAAUGUAUCGUAAGAAUAAGCAUCGGCUAACUCCGUGCCAGCAGCCGCGGUAAUACGGAGGUUGCGAGCGUUAUCCGGAUUUAUGGGGUUUAAAGGGUGCGUAGGUUGUUCGGUAAGUCAGCGGUGAAACCUGAGCGCUCAACGUUCAGCCUGCCGUUGAAACUGCGGGGCUUGAGUUCAGGGGCGGCAGGCGGAAUUCGUGGUGUAGCGGUGAAAUGCAUAGAUAUCACGAGGAACUCCGAUUGCGAAGGCAGCUUGCCAUACUGCGACUGACACUGAAGCGCGAAGGCGUGGGUAGCAAACAGG
Molecule: ribosomal RNA, 424 nt
Filed under: Fusobacteriota bacterium
Lineage: Bacteria; Fusobacteriati; Fusobacteriota
Description: Fusobacteria bacterium partial 16S ribosomal RNA
Rfam family: Bacterial small subunit ribosomal RNA
Source: RNAcentral